AAUAGGGCGAUGCAAGCAGUUGCUGGGUGAACUCCGCCAGGUCCGGAAGGAAGCAACGGUAGCCAAAGCGCUGCUGUGCAUUUAGCCCUAUUGCC
Molecule: signal recognition particle RNA, 95 nt
Filed under: Halobacteriovorax sp.
Lineage: Bacteria; Pseudomonadati; Bdellovibrionota; Bacteriovoracia; Bacteriovoracales; Halobacteriovoraceae
Description: signal recognition particle sRNA small type
Rfam family: Bacterial small signal recognition particle RNA
About the family: The signal recognition particle (SRP) is a universally conserved ribonucleoprotein involved in the co-translational targeting of proteins to membranes. Archaeal SRP consists of a 7S RNA and homologues of the eukaryotic SRP19 and SRP54 proteins.
Source: RNAcentral